Molecule: unclassified non-coding RNA, 418 nt
Filed under: soil metagenome
Description: partial contains 5.8S ribosomal RNA, internal transcribed spacer 2, and large subunit ribosomal RNA
Rfam family: 5.8S ribosomal RNA (bases 1-120)
Source: RNAcentral
GAUGAAGAACGUAGCGAAAUGCGAUAAGUAAUGUGAAUUGCAGAAUGCAGUGAAUCAUCGAAUCUUUGAACGCAUCUUGCGCUCCUUGGUAUUCCUUGGAGCAUGCCUGUUUGAGUAUCAUGAGCAAAUCUCAAAGUCAAUUCCUUUUGUUAAUUCAAUUGGUUUUGCUUUGGACUUGGAGGUCUUGCAGAUUUCACAGUCUGCUCCUCUUAAAUGCAUUAGCUGGAUCUCAGUAAUUAUGCUUGGUUCCACUCGGCGUGAUAAGUAUCACUCGCUGAGGACACUGUUAAAAAGGUGGCCAGGAAAAUACUGAUUGAACCGCUUCUAACGGUCUAUUAAGUUAGACAAUUACCCUUAAGUUUGAUCUCAAAUCAGGUAGGACUACCCGCUGAACUUAAGCAUAUCAAUAAGCGGAGGA